This is a long non-coding RNA of Orcinus orca (killer whale), 2350 nucleotides long. RefSeq lists it as uncharacterized. The transcript is spliced from 2 exons. NCBI's taxonomy places the organism in Eukaryota, Metazoa, Chordata, Mammalia, Artiodactyla, Delphinidae. The record is from RefSeq and is a predicted model, not a curated record.
GGUUGCAGCUGAGCCCAGCGGUAGCCUGGCACGGGAGUUGUCCAAGGACCGAACUUGCUCACUACCGACUCAGUCUUCCUCUUCCACCCUGGCAGCCCCACUCCGAGGAGCAGAGAAGAAGAAGCACGAGGCCAGGAGGGGGAGAGCGAGCGGAGCGCAGAGGCGCAGUCAGGCGCGUACUGAAGAGCCAGGAGAAGCGGGGGCGGGCCUGGCGAGCUAGGGCGGGGCGGGGAUGGAGCCGGAAGGACCCGGCCAACCGCUGCAGGAGGUUCCUGGGACCCGAGGCUGGCUUGGGCUACUGAUCGAUGUAGCCAGAGGGUAGCGGGCCCCCUCUGCAAAGAUCCAGGCAAGAAUCGCCUUUCCCCAAGUACUGCUGAGAGGAGACAGCCUGGCGCAGCUGGCGGCGCGGCGGAGUCUCCGCCUGAGAGCCGAGGCCUGGCGGGGGCGCACACGCACGCGCGCACGCUCUCGCGCCUCCUGUCCCCGCCGAGAGGCGCCCGCCGGGGCUGUGCCCCGCGCAGUGACCGGCGCGCCGCCGCCCUAGCCGGGAGUCGAAGCCUUUGCGCUCUACGCGCCCUGCGCCGGGGCCGCGCCUCCGCACCUCCCAGGCUCCGAGAGCGCUGCCCCAGGGUUUCCGCAGAGAAGGCAUCACCCUCUUCUGCCCAUGUCCCCACUUAGCAGCCUGGAGGUCCCACGAGGGACGCUAGGACCUCUGGGGGCUCCGCACUCUGGUGUUGGAGCCAGCUCUGGCGGGAGCUUCUGCACCCCGCCCCUCUCUAAAAGCGAUCUGGGACGACCUCUUGGGUUUGGCUCUAAUAGAGCCCUGUAUCUCUGCGAUACUGAGUUCCGAGGUAGUGAGUUCUAGGCUAAAACUACCUUCUCAAACAGGGGGAUCCUCCCACCCCUAUCUUUUACUCCCAAGUCCUCUCCACUGACUUCCUCAAACACACCCCAAGAAUGAAGAAAAAAUAGAAUUAGCGUCUGAGCUGCAGAAGCGGGAAUGGUGGACUUCACGCCCCAGAGAACGAGUCCCUGGGUUUAGCAACCAAGCCCUUGCGCACAGGCUAGAGGGUGGCAUGCCUGUUAAUUCUCAGAGGAAGCAGGGCUCACCAACCCAUUACCUCCUGGAAGAAGUUCAUGGAAGAUCAGGAACGCUUGGCUUGUGUCUUCAAUGUCACCUACUAAGCAGAGAUCCAGUACUAAUUCCUUUUGCUCUCUCUACAAUGUCCUGUGUUCUCUGUUGCUGCUGUAAUUCUACGGACCUAGAAUUCCCAAGACAGGAGGUUAUUCACGGAAACGUGAGGACCCACUGCAGUUGAGGCUUACCUUCCUACCUUCUCAGGAGGCAGGGAUCACAAAUGCAUGUGUUGGGGAUGAUGUAAAGUGUGCUGGGGAGCAUGAAAACCUCUGUAGGGGAGUUAAAAACUGGGAAUUCCUAGAGGGUGGAGCCCAAGAGGACAAAGGCAAACGUGACGGCACAAAUGGCUUUGGGAAUGGACUUGGCCUGAGGACAGUAAUGCUGGGAAGAAGGCACACUCUCAUAUUCACCCCCACCUGGCUGUCACAGCUCUUGAGCCCUUUGAGAUCUGUGAACUUCUUUCAUGCUUUCCGAUGCCCCCAUUCUCCCAGUCCCCAAAGGGCUACAAUUUCAAUGGCUGAACAAUAUCUUAUGUGUCUUCAAUAGUUUUCACUUUAUGUAACUCUAACUCCAAACCUCUGAGGUCAGCCUGGCAACACAUGUAUUACAAGCCUGAUGUGGUGAACGAAUUAGAGUUUCAGAAAUGUUAAGUAGUUUGUCCACAUCUGAUAAGAGGCAGAUUUUAGACUUCUAACAGAUCUUUCACUUGAUGGCUUUUUCCAAUACCCAGGCUAAUUUCUCAGGGGCAGUAAUAGUGGGAUCCCAAAUUGUUCAACAUCAAGAGAACAAACUAUGCAAUCACGCUAAGCCUGUGGGAAUGCUGGGCUUACCAUCCUCAAAUUGAAUCUGAUCAGUGGCCAAAUGCUCCUGGGACCACGCUGGGAAGAUGCUUAACUGGGAACACAUCUACUGCCCUCAAGAUCCGGGAGGAUCCUUAGAAAAAACUUCAGAUUAGGUCACUGCCGUAAUGCUUUGUAAGGGGAACUUGCCAUGUCCCUAGUUCCAGUGUCCUCCUAAAGACCCACAAACGGAAAUAUAAAAAAUCAACAACUGGGGCUUCCCUGGUGGCGCAGUGGUUGGGAGUCCGCCUGCCGAUGCAGGGGACACGGGUUCGUGCCCCGGUCCGGGAAGAUCCCACAUGCCGCGGAGCGGCUGGGCCCGUGGGCCAUGGCCGCUGGGCCUGCGCGUCCGGAGCUUGUGCUCCGCAACGGG